GGCACCGGCGGCAACAUUGAUGUAAGAAUUGGCACCGGCGGCAACAUUGAUGAAAUAUUCUUACCCGGCCGAGGAAGCGGCGGCACCGGCGGCGGUAGCUGGCGUGUCGUGUGAGGUGACCGGAGACGAAGACGUCUUUGCAAAACUAGCAAUUCUGACCACCAUCCGUAUUUGCUUCAGAUGUAUAUGGAUCAUUGCCGGACUGCUUCUCGCGUAUAUAUGCCAAUGCGUACUUUUAUCCUUGCUUGAUCGAAUAAAUGAAAGAUAUUCUCUCGCGCUGCUUCCCCC
RNAcentral lists this long non-coding RNA (288 nucleotides) under Elaeis guineensis (African oil palm). RNAcentral's name for it is "long non-coding RNA (EGUI_LNC002157)". Lineage: Eukaryota; Viridiplantae; Streptophyta; Magnoliopsida; Arecales; Arecaceae. The record is from RNAcentral.